Alligator mississippiensis (American alligator) is the source of this 1602-nucleotide long non-coding RNA. RefSeq lists it as uncharacterized. Lineage: Eukaryota; Metazoa; Chordata; Crocodylia; Alligatoridae. The record is from RefSeq and is a predicted model, not a curated record. The transcript is spliced from 2 exons.
UUAUUCACAGAUAUUUCAUCCAAAAAGAUUGAUUGACUUAAAACAGUGCUUAUCUUCAUCUGCUGACUCUUCCCAUUGACUCAAAUUAAAAUAAUUUUAGGUUUCUGUCAUUUCAAAUUGGACAUCAAAUCUUACAGCCCACAGCCAAAUGUUGUAUAGCAAGAAAUUCUGUACCUAUGAUAAUUUUAAGCUGUGACCUGUAAAUUUUGCUGUAUUGGAAAAACAAAUAUGCAGAUAGGAAAGCUGGAAGAAAUUCUAGUGUCCUUGGUAAUAAGUAGGUGGUGUGUGUGUAUAAGCAUGCAUGCACAGUAUUAUGCCAAAGACCAAUGAACCAGAAAGGUGUAAGGAUUUUGCAUUGAAGAUGCUUUCCUUUCAUACAAGAUGUAAAACCAAGGUUUUGACCCUUGUUAUGAAAAAUUCCACAGCACAUUUUGUAAGUCUAGCCUCUAAAGCAGGUUUGGAAGCUGAUCACCGUGUGCUUGUACAAAGAUUCAAGGAGAUGCAUAUUAACUUCUGAAGAGCCACAUGUGGCCCUGGACCCGCAGGUAUCUCAAAAAAGCCCUUGACUCAUACAUUUUCUGGACCACCAUGGCUACAACACUGUAAUCCUUCUAAGGCAAAUUUCAACUUAGCUAACUAUAUUCUACGCAUCCACAGUUUCUGUUUUUUCUCUUAAAUUGUAACACAGUGUUACUGGUAUUGUUGUAUUGUUAAAUGGGUGCUGCAUAUUACUGAUUUGAUUGUGGUGAGUAAAGCAAUACGCAUACACAAGUUGUGCCUCACGAGCACUUUACAGUGCAAUUUACAAGUGACCUAUAAGCAGUAUAAUUGUACAUGAGAAGCACUACUUCUGCUUUGUGUUUCCAUGUGACUUAAUAUCAGACAUAAGGAAAUGAGGUAAUAAAAAUAAAGUAAAAAAUGUAAAUUCUAUCAUGCAUCCAUUAAACACUGAAAAUCACUGUAGAGCAAAUUACAUACUGGUUAGUCUUAGAGGUUUCUUGUCAGUUCUACACUUCCCACCCUAUUCUGCUUCUCCAUAUGGGGAAGGGUCGCAGGUAGUAGGGCAGGGAGGAUAAGACUAGCACUGUCAAAGCCCUGACCAGUCCCAUCCUUAAGUUUGUCCAGGCCUAAAGAGCUAUUGAUGGUUCCGUGAUGUAGUCACAAGGAUUUGUGUGUUCCAGCAAGAAGGAAAUAAAGUCCUUGUCUUGAGUAUGGCAAGUUUAAGAUGGACAUCUGGUUUGUCAACUAAGUUUAAUGAUGAAGGAAUUUUAGAGUGUUAAUUUUUCAGACUGGCAGUAAGACAAACAUUUCUCAAGCUAACCCCAAUUAUGUAGGAGGUUAAUUAAGCCACAGAUUUCUGUCUUUCCUGACAAAGAACCAAUGAUUCAAUAUUAAUAAUGUAAGCUAUGUACAUGAAAAUAUUAUACAUGUGCCAGAAAUAAUAUAUUACAUGUGUUAGAAAAACAAAUAUGACAUCUCAAAUGACUCUUCACCCCAUAAUGUGUUCUCCAUUUUGGGUUUCACAGGUUGAAAGAAGCAAUGACAAAAUGAACACUGAUAAAAGAAAUAGCUUAUAAAUAAGAAAGGAAAAACUAAUCAAAA